CUUAAAUACCGGUUACCGUAUGGUCAUCAAAGUUAAGCAACGUUGAGCGUGGUUAGUACCUAGAUGUGUCAUCGCUUGGGAAUACCAGGUGCUGUAAG
Non-coding RNA from Acanthosepion pharaonis, 98 nucleotides. The record is from the annotation of a GenBank genome assembly. NCBI's taxonomy places the organism in Eukaryota, Metazoa, Mollusca, Cephalopoda, Sepiida, Sepiidae.